UACAGAGGGUGCAAGCGUUGUUCGGAAUACUGGGCGUAAAGCGCGUGUAGGCGGCCAUCUAAGUCGGGCGUGAAAUCCCACGGCUCAACCGUGGAAGUGCACUCGAAACUGGAUGGCUAGAGUCCUGGAGAGGAAGGUGGAAUGCUUGGUGUAGAGGUGAAAUUCGUAGAUAUCAAGCGGAACACCGGUGGCGAAGGCGGCCUUCUGGACAGUGACUGACGCUGAGACGCGAAAGCGUGGGGAGCAAACAGG
This 252-nucleotide ribosomal RNA is filed under the name uncultured bacterium. RNAcentral's name for it is "partial 16S ribosomal RNA". It matches the Rfam family "Bacterial small subunit ribosomal RNA", at positions 524 to 776 of the family's 1533-position model. The record is from RNAcentral.